CCGGGCCCUCGGGCAUCCUGAGGGAGGGUGGCAGAGUCCUGUCGGGGAGGAAGGCAGCAGGAUGAGCCCGGCGUGGACCUUGUGAGGGCCCUCCAAAGUCCAUCCUCUCCGUAGCCCUACAGCACGCCCCCACCCCGGGAACGGGCACUCCGUUCCGCUUGCCGCCACUGCAGCCACUAAAGGGUUAAUGCCAGGAGAGGCGGCGCCCGGGAGCGCGCUGGGAGCCGCUGGGAAGUGUAGUCCCUCAGGAAGGCGGUAGCAACUCUUCGAGGUGAGGUUCCCGAGCUGGGGGUGGGGGGUGCUGAAGGCUGUAGGGCAGGCUUCGGGGCAGUUACCUGGCUGGGAGGUGGCGGAGAAACCUGGCUUCCCACUGCCCGGCGCCGGCGGAUGCAGGAGCAGGUCUGAGGCCCCGGUCGCCCCUGUCUGUGGUUGGCGGAAGUCACCCAGCUAGCCUGGGACAGGGUCGGCACCCCCAGCAGGAAACAGCAGCGAGCCAGAGCGGAGCCGCCUGCAGCUGCGCGCAGGUGGUGCACAGGUGCGCGGUGCGCGCAGGCCCUAGGGACCCGUUGGGGACCCUAAGCACCAAGUCACAGUUAGACCCAGGUCAUAAACAAACAUCGUCACUGCUUGCCGGGUCGGAAGGGCAGCCAAGCAACAAAAAAAGGCAGGGAGGUAGACCCACUUCAGACGGUUCUGUGGGGAGUCUCUGAAAUCAGGAGGUGCCAGCCCCCAAAAAGUAGGAAACCCGACAGAUAGGCGGAAGGAACAGCCAGUGCCAAGGCCCUGAGGGGAGAAAGUCUGGCCACUGAAAGAACUCCAAGUCCCGUAUGGUUGGAGUGUAGCUGCGGGUAGUGCCAGGAGGUGGAGGCAGAGAAGCAAACAGGGCUCCAAUCAGGUCCGGCUGGGCCUCGGAAGGGCCUCCGUGUGGAGCCUGCACUUCAUUCAAAGUGUGUGCCUGACCCAUCGCCACGAUUUCCUCUCCUUCACACUUCCCUGCUUACCUUCCUCUCCUUAUUAGACAUAAUAAAAAUUAUGUGGCUUUGUAAGAAAUUGGUUUUUAGAGAUGCAUGUUAAAAGUACUGGGCGUGAAAUGUCAUGACUUGUCUAAUUUACUUGAAAAUACUUCUGCCAAAAUAAAUGGAGUUAACAAUAA
Long non-coding RNA from Sapajus apella (tufted capuchin), 1153 nucleotides. RefSeq lists it as uncharacterized. The record is from RefSeq and is a predicted model, not a curated record. Lineage: Eukaryota; Metazoa; Chordata; Mammalia; Primates; Cebidae. The transcript is spliced from 2 exons.